GAUGAACGCUGGCGGCGUGCCUAAUACAUGCAAGUCGAGCGAACGGACGAGAAGCUUGCUUCUCUGAUGUUAGCGGCGGACGGGUGAGUAACACGUGGAUAACCUACCUAUAAGACUGGGAUAACUUCGGGAAACCGUAGCUAAUACCGGAUAAUAUUUUGAACCGCAUGGUUCAAAAGUGAAAGACGGUCUUGCUGUCACUUAUAGAUGGAUCCGCGCUGCAUUAGCUAGUUGGUAAGGUAACGGCUUACCAAGGCAACGAUGCAUAGCCGACCUGAGAGGGUGAUCGGCCACACUGGAAGUGAGACACGGUCCAGACUCCUACGGGAGGCAGCAGUAGGGAAUCUUCCGCAAUGGGCGAGAGCCUGACGGAGCAACGCCGCGUGAGUGAUGAAGGUCUUCGGAUCGUAAAACUCUGUUAUUAGGGAAGAACAUAUGUGUAAGUAACUGUGCACAUCUUGACGGUACCUAAUCAGAAAGCCACGGCUAACUACGUG
Molecule: ribosomal RNA, 497 nt
Filed under: uncultured bacterium
Lineage: Bacteria
Description: partial 16S ribosomal RNA
Rfam family: Bacterial small subunit ribosomal RNA
Source: RNAcentral